RNAcentral lists this ribosomal RNA (253 nucleotides) under uncultured prokaryote. Its description in RNAcentral is "partial 16S ribosomal RNA". It matches the Rfam family "Bacterial small subunit ribosomal RNA", at positions 525 to 777 of the family's 1533-position model. The record is from RNAcentral.
ACGUACGAGGCGAGCGUUAUCCGGAAUUACUGGGCGUAAAGCGCGCGCAGGUGGCGCCGUAAGUUGGGCGUGAAAUCUCCCGGCCUAACUGGGAGGGGUCGCCCAAGACUGCGGGGCUUGAGGCUGGCAGAGGUAGGUGGAAUUCCUGGUGUAGUGGUGAAAUGCGUAGAGAUCAGGAGGAACACCGGUGGCGAAGGCGGCCUACUGGGCCAGCACUGACGCUGAGGCGCGAAAGCUCGGGGAGCGAACGGGA